This 721-nucleotide ribosomal RNA is filed under the name uncultured marine bacterium. Its description in RNAcentral is "bacterial SSU rRNA". It matches the Rfam family "Bacterial small subunit ribosomal RNA", at positions 60 to 777 of the family's 1533-position model. The record is from RNAcentral.
AGUCGAGGGGUAACAGAAAAGCUUGCUUUUGCUGACGACCGGCGCACGGGUGUGUAACGCGUAUGCAACCUACCUCAUACUGGAGGAUAGCCCCUGGAAACGGGGAUUAAUACUCCAUAGUAUCACAAUUUCGCAUGUUAUUGUGAUUAAAGUUUUUCGGUAUGAGAUGGGCAUGCGUCCCAUUAGCUUGUUGGUGAGGUAACGGCUCACCAAGGCAACGAUGGGUAGGGGGCCUGAGAGGGUGGUCCCCCACACUGGUACUGAGACACGGACCAGACUCCUACGGGAGGCAGCAGUGAGGAAUAUUGGUCAAUGGAGGAAACUCUGAACCAGCCAUGCCGCGUGAAGGAUGACGGCCCUAUGGGUUGUAAACUUCUUUUAUAGAGGAAGAAACUUGUCUACGUGUAGACAACUGACGGUACUCUACGAAUAAGGAUCGGCUAACUCCGUGCCAGCAGCCGCGGUAAUACGGAGGAUCCAAGCGUUAUCCGGAUUCAUUGGGUUUAAAGGGUCCGUAGGCGGAUUUUUAAGUCAGUGGUGAAAGCCGACAGCUCAACUGUCGAGCUGCCAUUGAUACUGGAAAUCUUGAGUACAAAUGAAGUAGGCGGAAUGAGUCAUGUAGCGGUGAAAUGCAUAGAUAUGACUCAGAACACCGAUUGCGAAGGCAGCUUACUAACAUGUAACUGACGCUGAGGGACGAAAGCGUGGGGAGCGAACAGGA